UUUCUUUCUUUUUCUUCUUUUUCAUUUCCCGUCUCACACUUCUCUUCACUCCCUCAAACUCUCCAACCAGUACCUCCACACCCACCAUUUCCACCAUCAUUUUUCUGAAAAUGUCACCGGGAAAUCCUUAAGAACCUUUAAGCAUCUUCAUCUUUUAUUUGAGGUUCUAGUUAAUCUCCCUGGAGCUUAGAGAAUUAGGAUUUUGCGGUUGCGAGUUUUUCAGAUUUAUUAGCUAUACCUUGGGUGUGGAGCUUACUUCCUUGGUGAUGAUUAGAGUGCUAUGUUAAAUUUGGAGACUCUUAUUGUAAAUGGUUGGUGACUCGAUCUUGCUAUGUUCAUCAAGACCUUAAUUAAUUCUAUUGGAGGUUGGUCACUUGAGGUUUGUUAACCUUAGGCGUGGUAGGCAUAGACUUGAUAUUGAGAUUCCUUAUUCUUGAUAAGAUUGUGACUUUGUGUAAUCCAAUAGUUUUGUAAUAUAUAUUCAUGUAUUAUGUGGAGGCACAUGAUUUUUAGU
This is a long non-coding RNA of Quercus lobata, 514 nucleotides long. RefSeq lists it as uncharacterized. The record is from RefSeq and is a predicted model, not a curated record. The transcript has 3 exons. NCBI's taxonomy places the organism in Eukaryota, Viridiplantae, Streptophyta, Magnoliopsida, Fagales, Fagaceae.